UCCUCCCUCUUUCUUCGUGCUUAACACAUGCAAGUCGAACGGAAAGGCCCUGCUUUUGUGGGGUGCUCGAGUGGCGAACGGGUGAGUAACACGUGAGUAACCUGCCCUUGACUUUGGGAUAACUUCAGGAAACUGGGGCUAAUACCGGAUAGGAGCUCCUGCUGCAUGGUGGGGGUUGGAAAGUUUCGGCGGUUGGGGAUGGACUCGCGGCUUAUCAGCUUGUUGGUGGGGUAGUGGCUUACCAAGGCUUUGACGGGUAGCCGGCCUGAGAGGGUGACCGGCCACAUUGGGACUGAGAUACGGACCAGACUCCUACGGGAGGCAGCAGUGGGGAAUAUUGCACAAUGGGCGGAAGCCUGAUGCAGCAACGCCGCGUGCGGGAUGACGGCCUUCGGGUUGUAAACCGCUUUCGCCUGUGACGACGCGUGAGUGACGGUAAUGGGUAAAGAAGCACCGGCUAACUACGUG
This 468-nucleotide ribosomal RNA is filed under the name uncultured bacterium. RNAcentral's name for it is "partial 16S ribosomal RNA". It matches the Rfam family "Bacterial small subunit ribosomal RNA", at positions 36 to 507 of the family's 1533-position model. The record is from RNAcentral.